This 1037-nucleotide long non-coding RNA is filed under the name Struthio camelus australis. RNAcentral describes it as "lncRNA (ENSSCUG00000000265.1)". Lineage: Eukaryota; Metazoa; Chordata; Aves; Struthioniformes; Struthionidae. The record is from RNAcentral.
GAGGGGAAUCAUAGGAUGCUGUAUCAGGAGCAUUCACCAGAAGCAAUGCAGAUGUCUGCAUCUGAAUUUGUCACCAUAGGCAGCUUUUAUAGCCAAAGAAGAGAAAUGGGAGAUUCAUCUUAUUGCAAGUUUGAUGAAUGGUGCAGUAGAGAUGCCUGUUUCUCUACCUGGGGAGCAAAGGGAGCUACAGGUGACCGGUGAAGGCAUAGCAAUCUGCUUGCAAGAGCCAGAUGUUAGGUGAGAUGAAUCCAAGCCCUCACCACAUCCUGCCCACACAUCUCAUCCACACAUGUGGUGGGACAUCCUGCCUUGCAUCAGCUGCAUGUCAUGUUCUUGAGACCCUACCCUCUUCCCUCAGGGUGAAAUUCAGCUUGUAUGGAAGGCUGGGCCAAGAGCUACACACCAAAUACACUGUUUUGGUCGUGACAGCAUGUACAGCCCUAAUCCGUAAGGAUCCUGUUUUUCUGAUGCUCAAGUUGAAGUCUGUUAAAGGGGAGAACCUCUACUUUUCAGCAAUUUUUGCUCCAGUAUCAGAAAAGAAACACUUUAUCUCACUCUCUUUCUCUGGAAACCACUCACAGCUUCAAACCACCUCAAGAGAACAGUUUUCUGGAAGCUGCGUGUCUUUUCUGAAAGGCAUCUCACCAGAUUGCUGACAAAUCAUAUGCUGCCUGACUUUAAAUAUAACAAAAUGAAAUGACUAAGGUUCGGGAGGAGGAGGAAAUAGGCCCUUCUUUCAAAUUUUUGACACGCUGAGAUCCACUCAAUCAGGUGCACGCUUGGUGUGACCCUACAGCUUAGAUUUGCACCAGUGACAAGUUUGGCCCUCUGUUUAUCUGUUUGCCAGGUAAGGAGAACUGUCUGCUGAAGCUGUUCAGCUUCUCUCCUUGUUUUUUGCCUCGGUGAAUUAAUUUAGUGCUUGCCUGAGGUGGUGAACUGACACUCAACCGUACUUCUUUUAUCUACAAAUAACGGCAGCAACUUUCCAGCCUCUGCCCCCAAAUAAAGGUGCCUCAGCACCAAGUGGAAGAAAGCGC